AUUGAACGCUGGCGGCAUGCCUUACACAUGCAAGUCGAACGGCAGCACGGGUGCUUGCACCUGGUGGCGAGUGGCGAACGGGUGAGUAAUACAUCGGAACAUGUCCUGUAGUGGGGGAUAGCCCGGCGAAAGCCGGAUUAAUACCGCAUACGAUCUACGGAUGAAGGCGGGGGACCUUCGGGCCUCGCGCUAUCGGGUUGGCCGAUGGCUGAUUAGCUAGUUGGUGGGGUAAAGGCCUACCAAGGCGACGAUCAGUAGCUGGUCUGAGAGGACGACCAGCCACACUGGGACUGAGACACGGCCCAGACUCCUACGGGAGGCAGCAGUGGGGAAUUUUGGACAAUGGGCGAAAGCCUGAUCCAGCAAUGCCGCGUGUGUGAAGAAGGCCUUCGGGUUGUAAAGCACUUUUGUCCGGAAAGAAAUCCUUGGCCCUAAUACGGUCGGGGGAUGACGGUACCGGAAGAAUAAGCACCGGCUAACUACGUG
Molecule: ribosomal RNA, 486 nt
Filed under: uncultured bacterium
Lineage: Bacteria
Description: partial 16S ribosomal RNA
Rfam family: Bacterial small subunit ribosomal RNA
Source: RNAcentral